UAGACUAUACAAGACAAGCCCAAGACAAUACCAACAAGCCCAUUACUAUGUUAUAAAGCUAUGUGUGUUAGGGUUCCUUUACAAGUAGACUAGUAGUAUAAAUGUGAUUGUAAUGUGAUGAACAAAGUAACUUUGGCUGCGUUGAAUGCAGCCUCUCCUUUCAUAUUUAUGAAUCAUUUACAAUCUUACUUAUCUUGGUGACAAACAUAAAGAUUCUUAGUUUCAUUGCACAAUAAAGCUUCUUAAAACUAUUUCAUUUUCUGUGUCAAUAAGCUCUUAUGAGCAGAAUCUAUGUUGUUUUGAGUUUAUUCACAUGGUAUCAGAGCUGCAGUCGAUCAGGGAUCUACAAAUUUUUAUUUCUUGCUCUCAAGCUUCUGCUCGUUUCUGUUGAAGAAGUUUCGUGGCUUACAAAAAAAAAAAACAGAGCUUUGUCUGAGAAAGAAGAACCUGCGAGAAGACCAAGCCUCUCAACGUUGCCCUGCCCAAGCCUCUCAACACUGUCACUUUCCAUAACUAAAGCUUCAAACUUUUAAUCCAUGAAGAUUCAGAGGGUCUUGAAGAAGGAACAAACGACCAUUUUCUACCCCUGAAGCUCCAAGGAUUUAGUGUUUUCUCGAUCCAAGCAAGCAGAGAAACAAGACAUGAGCUUUAUUUGAAGAAGAAGAGUUUGGUUCAUCUGAAGAAGAGUCUGAGUCCUCAAGCCGUUGAUGUUCAGUCGUUGACACGUUUCUCUAAAGUCAGAACCUUUGAGAGUGCACGAAGAUUGAAGAGUCUGAGUUUCGAAGGGAAACGUUUCACGUCAUACAUCACGUGUCAUGAGUGGCCAGAGAUCAAGCGGACUAGAGGCAUCACAUACUUCAUCGCUGGAUGGAAGAAGUCUUCAAACCAAAAUAUCUAUGGUAAUAUUCGUGAUCUCUUAUUAGACAUGGUUUGAGAUGGAUAUUGGCUGGUUUAGAUUCGUAGGUCUGGAACUCAGAAAGUUAGAUGAGAUAGACUGUGAUUGAUUGGGCUGAUAAGGGUGUGUUUAGAUAAGCAAGUUAGGGUCGGAUAUGCUGAAUGCACACAACCUGUUCGAUGAAAUGCCAAAGAGAAUGAACUGCAAUGUUCUAGUUGGUUAUUGGAUGGAAAAUAGACAGUGGGUAGGAUUGAAGUUGUUGUGGGAAAGUCCCUUUUGUAUCAGACAAAUUUGUUGAGUUACAUGGGUCAUGAAAGAACCCGGACUCUUUGUGAGAAAGAAAGGUCACAAUGUACCUCUGAGUGAGAUCGACUAAGCUCUCCAAGUUCAAGAGAAACCUCUGAGUGAAGCCAUGCGAUACUCUCCAAGUAUAGACCAACAAUCUCUUCUAUGUGGUGAAUUGAAGAUUACACCUAUAGCUCCAUUUGAUCAUGCUUCCACUACCUACUCCCCAAGCCAUUUGCAUUUGCGGUUCAAACUCAGCAUCUUGCUUUCACCUGACGCUAAGUUUGCGGGAGAGUAUUAGACUAUACAAGACAAGCCCAAGACAAUACCAACAAGCCCAUUACUAUGUUAUAAAGCUAUGUGUGUUAGGGUUCCUUUACAAGUAGACUAGUAGUAUAAAUGUGAUUGUAAUGUGAUGAACAAAGUAACUUUGGCUGCGUUGAAUGCAGCCUCUCCUUUCAUAUUUAUGAAUCAUUUACAAUCUUA
Molecule: long non-coding RNA, 1666 nt
Organism: Brassica napus (rape)
Lineage: Eukaryota; Viridiplantae; Streptophyta; Magnoliopsida; Brassicales; Brassicaceae
Exons: 2
Source: RefSeq, a predicted model, not a curated record